CAACUUUGAGGGUUUAGAGC
This 20-nucleotide small nuclear RNA is filed under the name Arabidopsis thaliana (thale cress). Its description in RNAcentral is "snRNA_12694". Lineage: Eukaryota; Viridiplantae; Streptophyta; Magnoliopsida; Brassicales; Brassicaceae. The record is from RNAcentral.